UACGGGGGGGGCAAGCGUUGUUCGGAAUUACUGGGCGUAAAGGGCUCGUAGGUGGCCAACUAAGUCAGACGUGAAAUCCCUCGGCUUAACCGGGGAACUGCGUCUGAUACUGGAUGGCUUGAGUUCGGGAGAGGGAUGCGGAAUUCCAGGUGUAGCGGUGAAAUGCGUAGAUAUCGGGAGGAAUACCAGCGGCGAAGGCGGCCUUCUGGACGGUGACUGACGCUGAGACGCGAAAGCGUGGGGAGCAAACAGG
This 253-nucleotide ribosomal RNA is filed under the name uncultured bacterium. Its description in RNAcentral is "partial 16S ribosomal RNA". It matches the Rfam family "Bacterial small subunit ribosomal RNA", at positions 524 to 776 of the family's 1533-position model. The record is from RNAcentral.